This 422-nucleotide ribosomal RNA is filed under the name Verrucomicrobiota bacterium. Its description in RNAcentral is "Verrucomicrobia bacterium partial 16S ribosomal RNA". It matches the Rfam family "Bacterial small subunit ribosomal RNA", at positions 355 to 776 of the family's 1533-position model. The record is from RNAcentral. Lineage: Bacteria; Pseudomonadati; Verrucomicrobiota.
UGGGGAAUAUUGCACAAUGGGCGGAAGCCUGAUGCAGCGACGCCGCGUGAGGGAUGACGGCCUUCGGGUUGUAAACCUCUUUCAGUAAGGGUGAAGGCUCUCUUUUGUGGAGGGUUGACAGUACUUGCAGAAGAAGCGCCGGCUAACUACGUGCCAGCAGCCGCGGUAAUACGUAGGGCGCGAGCGUUGUCCGGAAUUAUUGGGCGUAAAGGGCUUGUAGGUGGCGUGUCGCGUCUGCUGUAAAAUUCCAGGGCUUAACUUUGGGAUUGCAGUGGGUACGGGCAUGCUAGAGUGCAGUAGGGGAGAUUGGAAUUCCUGGUGUAGCGGUGAAAUGCGCAGAUAUCAGGAGGAACACCGGUGGCGAAGGCGGGUCUCUGGGCUGUUACUGACGCUGAGGAGCGAAAGCGUGGGGAGCGAACAGG